UGAUCGCAAUUCGUUAUUCGUUUUCCGCAUAUGCUAUUUUGUAAAAUCCCUACACAGUAAAUAUCAAUAAUAGCAAGCAAUGCAAUAAAAGUAUAAAAUGUUUCAUUAUUAAAGAAAAGCAGGAAUUUUAAAAACUUACCAUGUCUGAACAUAAUAAUGAUAUUGAAUACUUAAUAACAACACUUGGAACAUUUUUAAUAGUGGCAUUGGUUUGUUGUAUCUGCUGUUUUUGUAUGAAAAUCAGUGAUAUGAAACUGAGGAACUAUAUACUAGAGUUGGCAAAGAAGAGAAAUAUUAAUGUCGAUCUUGAGAAACUUAAACCAACCAAUACUACCUGCCAGUCUCCAUAUGCUAAUGAGAACUGUACAAUUGUCAUCCCUGAUGUCGCCAUAGUUCUAUAGAUCUGUAUGAGAAUCCAAGUAAUAUUAGCUAUAAGUUAGUAAAAUUAUGCUUACCAUGAUUACUAUAUGAUUGGCAUGUAAAAUUUUUGUGUUGCCAUGUAGAAAUUUGAUACCACUUUCUUGGAGAUCACAUUUUUGGCUGGGAAAAAAACUUUGUUAUCCUUAAAAAUAUAAUCCAAUUAGAACUCUUAAGUUAUAUAAAUGCCAAUUUGUACCUGUUCAAUGUAAUACUCAUUUUUUAUGUUAUACAUUUUUUUAUAUGAGGACUAGCCUUAAGUCAAAGGUAUGUUUUUUCUUUUUUAAGUAAAAUUCAAAUAUGGAUUUAAAUAGUUUCUUUGCUUAUACAAAACUAAAUAUAUUAUUUAAAUACAGUUGAUUUCACAUUUAACAAUGAUGAAGGGACCACUCUUAUUUCAUUGUUAUAUCCGGAGGUUGUUAUAGGCAAUGGUUGAAAUCAAGACAUACAUACAUAUACUUUAUAUUAAUUUAUUAUUGAAAACAUUUGCACUCAGCAGCAGCAGCACUCAUUUACUGGUGAAAAAUAACUCAGAAUAUCUCUUUGAAACUGAUCCAUAAAUUAAACUCCGAAACUUAAAUGUUUACCUACUUAGCUGAUAGCUAUCCAGAAAAAGUAGAGGUCUCCAUAGUUGCUGACCAUCUGUGUGAAUGUGUGAAUAAAACAAAAGAUAAGCAAUGUUUGUGAAGGAAUUAAAUCUUUGUGUCUGGUGGCUGACUCCAGUUGCAAAAUCUGCAUGGGAUUUUUAGGAAUUUGUUGCAAAUGUUUCAUUAAAAACAGUCGCAUCACUGGAACUUAAUGUUGUAAAAAUUUUGUACUUAAGUAUGCUUUAAAUGUCAGUCCACUAUGUAUUCCAAAUUCAAGAAAAAAUUGUGUGUGUGAUACUAAGUGAGUUAAUGUAUGUAAUGUGAUUGCUAUAUAAUGUGUACGGUUUUUCGUAUAUUGAUUCCUUGGUAGUAGAAAAAUGGUCUAAAAGUUGUCCAAAAACUGAAAAAAUCUUGAUGGUACUUGAGCGACGUCACUGUCCUUGUAUACGCACAAAAAUAGAAAACUCUUAUAUUUUUAUAAAACCAAAAGUUUGAAAAUUCUGUACUCGACGUGUAGAUAUUCCUAAGUUCCUAAAUUAUGUCCUAUUUAUAAUGUCAAUUUAUUCUUCCCUUUUAAAUCUUGGCAUCAUGAUAUCAUCAUGUGUUGUGCCUUAUUGUGGCCAAAAUUAAAAACAUGUAUAUUUCUACGAUCUGAAUGAAAAGCUAUUUUGUCUAACAUCUAAGAAAACUGUGUUAUUGUGAACCUAGCGUUUUUUCUAUACUUAUUAAGAAAAACGUUAGGACAUAGUUAUAGAUAUUUAGUGUAUCAAAUAACAAUGGCAUUUUUUGUACAGCUUAUUGGUGCCAAAUAUAAUGUAUUCAGACAUGUAAUACUAAUGCCACUUUUAGAGUGUAAUAAAAUUCUUAUAUUCUUAGUUAUAGUAGGGGAGCCCACGAUGCUAAACGGGGAUUUAUAGAUAAUAAGAUUUUUUUUAUAUAAUGUAGACAUAAGUUAAAAUAUGAUUUUUCAAAAAUGUUAAAAAAAACUGUGCCAUGUACAUCACAUACUCAAGCGCAGCGCUAUAAUAAUUGCAUGUAAUUAACUCACCUUACCUUAAUUUGACGCGCUCGAGAAUCUCUAGGUAUUAAUAUUUUUUUUACUAAUCUUAUCUCUUAUGCUUGACGGGCCGCCAUAUAUAUGGAGCUCAUAUUUGGUAGAGGUACUUAACCGGGUACAAGGCCUGUAUAUUAAUCUGCCACGCUAUACUAAAUCCCGGAAUCCCCGCUUGGGCUCCCCUACUAUAAACAUGGAAAUUAUAUGUAAAUGAACACUUUCAAAAGCAUUUUUUUUAUUUUUUAUUGUACAAUUAUUUUCAUACUAAGGAAAUACAACUAAUUUGUAACUCACACAAAAUGAUUAAUGGUUUUUAUUUAAAUAGUAAAACUAACUUCUAAAGUAGUUGUUUAAAUCGAUAGUACCUUAAUGUUCUAAGGUAGCCUUGAUUAAGUCUAAGCCUAAGCAAAAUAAGGUAAUACGCACACAUAUAAUAGGUAUUUGCUUCUCAAAAUGUUUGAAUACUAACCAAGGUAUUGUUUUAAUGUUAACAAUUUCUAUGACUGAUAUUAAUUUUAUAAGCUCUCUACAACUGUGUAUAUAAGUAUGUUUUUAUUGUAUCGCUACAAAGCUUGGCAAUAUUAAUAGAUUUGUAUUUUAUGCAUAUUUUCGCAACCCCAUCUAUAAAUAUUGGAAAGAAAUGUUAGGGUUGUAAAUAAAUACAUAAGAUAUUCAUGCGUCCAUGACAUUACAGAUUCUUAGUGGUUCAUGAGAAACUCCAUAAACAAUACUUUUCAACCAUAAUUGGUAGUCCACGUUUAAGACAGGGCAUUUUAUCCUUUGAUGGACGAUUCCUUCACAAAAAAUUCAAGAGAUUGCUUUGAAUGGUGCGUUGACCUGACAUGGAGGCUACAGUUUUAUUGGUAUUGCAUUCACAUUUUCAGGAACUUCGUUAUGACUAUUUAUGAAUGCCCUUGUAUUAUAUUCAUCAUCAUAUAAGGAGGAUAUUUUACACCCUAGGAGUCUCUUUAAUCUAAAAUGACAGAUAACUUCAACUCCAAAAACCAUUCAUUAAUCUGAAGUGCAUUGAUUCCAGCUAUAAUUCCAGUUACAGGUUGAAAUGUCCAUUAAAUUGCCAGAAGUUUUAAUGAGUACGGUCCCCUAUUGGAUUUCCUUGUUUUUUUGUUUGCGACAUACCUGUAAUGUAAUGGUAUCAAAUAUUUAUAUGAAUAAGUUUAUAGCGCCCCUGGUGGACUCGAGCAGAACUAAGUUUCUCAAAUAAAUAUUGUCAAAAAUGUUUAUGACAUUCAUAACUAUAUAAUAGUUUUAUUAUUCUAAAAGUAGUUCAUGAUCAAAUUAAGAAUCUCAAGAGCCUAAGGGCAAUAGAGCACUAACGACUAAGGAUCGCGGUCAAAAACAGCGCGCCUCAAAAUGGACGUUGAGGAAAUGCCAGUGCUUGUGUAUCUCGUAAGUAAGAAGGGAAAAAACAAAAGCAAAAAAUAUUUAAAAUUUGCGUCCAACCACGAGCCGCAAAUAUACGUCGCUUCGGGCCAUGUGCGCCUGUUCUAUGGCGAUUUCGUAAUAAUGUAUCUAUCUCGCUGGCCCCUAGUAUAUUGCCCUAGCUCAGCGUCACAAUCCGGCAAUUAGAAAAAUUAAUAUGUUAUUGAUAUAUUGACUGAUAGUGAUACUAGAAACCAAGCCUUGAGCAUUCUAAAAUUAAUUAUAUUGAGAAAAUAAUACUUGAGUCGAAAAUAAUACCUCAACGAAAAGGUAAAAAAACUCUAAAUAAAAUUCUAUUGUACUCAAUGCAUCUAUCUAUUAACAGAAUUAUUAGUUGCCAAGCUGUAGAUAUAGUUGUGUAUGUGUUCACGAUAUUUUUUAAAUAAACUAUU
This is a long non-coding RNA of Pieris brassicae (large cabbage white), 3890 nucleotides long. RefSeq lists it as uncharacterized. The transcript is spliced from 3 exons. Lineage: Eukaryota; Metazoa; Arthropoda; Insecta; Lepidoptera; Pieridae. The record is from RefSeq and is a predicted model, not a curated record.